UGGGGAAUCUUCCGCAAUGGGCGAAAGCCUGACGGAGCAACGCCGCGUGAGGGAUGAAGGCCUCUGGGCUGUAAACCUCUUUUCUCAAGGAAGAAGAUCUGACGGUAUUUGAGGAAUAAGCCACGGCUAAUUCCGUGCCAGCAGCCGCGGUAAUACGGGAGUGGCAAGCGUUAUCCGGAAUUAUUGGGCGUAAAGCGUCCGCAGGCGGCCUCGUAAGUCUGUCGUUAAAGCGUGGAGCUUAACUCCAUUUCAGCGAUGGAAACUGUGAGGCUAGAGUGUGGUAGGGGCAGAGGGAAUUCCCGGUGUAGCGGUGAAAUGCGUAGAUAUCGGGAAGAACACCAGUGGCGAAGGCGCUCUGCUGGGCCAUAACUGACGCUCAUGGACGAAAGCCGGGGGAGCGAAAGGGAUUAGAUACCCCUGUAGUC
RNAcentral lists this ribosomal RNA (425 nucleotides) under uncultured cyanobacterium. Its description in RNAcentral is "bacterial SSU rRNA". It matches the Rfam family "Bacterial small subunit ribosomal RNA", at positions 355 to 795 of the family's 1533-position model. The record is from RNAcentral. Lineage: Bacteria; Bacillati; Cyanobacteriota.